UUUCUUUACCCUCUUCGCGGAAAUAUGUAUCUUCCUUCCAUUAUAAGAAGAAUAAACCUCAGGCAUUUCACGUGUAGUAUUUUAUUUAGCCCGGUGAUUAAUGCAUGACAAUAGUCAGGAUAAUCUGGUCUGGGACUAGAGGGGUAAAUGUUAUUGGUGCACGUUGCAUAACAAAGACAGGAGUGACACUAUGUAACUGUUUCCAAGAUCUGAUGGCAUUCGAUUUACAGAGCUAGCCACCUGUGAAACGUCAUUGCAGCAGAGGCAUCACCACCCACCAACGUGGCCACGUUUUCUGCCUAGAAACACCAUCGGCUAAUUGGAAUAGCGAGACCGAAGAAUCCCGUGGGCUGGGACCAACGUGACAUGGGGGCUGGACAGAGCGUAGAGGAGACCAGACGGUUGGACAACGUUAGUGACCACAUCAAGCAGUCCAGCACGGAUGCCCAUCCGGAGGCUGACGUGGCACCUAACCCACAGGAGCCUGCUGCGGAGCUCCCUCAGCGCAGGAUGGCCGACAAGAAGGUGGAUGACAUGUGCUUCAUGAUCUCAUGCACCAACUGGUACUAGAGGGUGGUGGGUUGGUGGCAGGCGAUGCAUUUAAAAACAGUCGUACAGUAGACACACACACCCCAAACCUUUGCUUUGAUGCCACAUCCCGAGAGGAUAAUAAAGCUAAGAGUGUUCACCUCUGCGCCUCACGAUUUACUCCAAUUUAGCGUGCAUAAAAAGCAUAAGCACAGCCGAGGAAGUGGCCGCGCUGCACGUGGGUGGUUCAGGUGCAGUGCUAAUUGCACUGUUAUUACUGUCCAGGUUCGUUCAGACAGCUACUCGGAAGGGAAGUCUAUAGAGCAUGCAAAAAUAAACCCUUCUCCUAUGGCUUGGACCUUUAUGCUGAGUUUUUUACCCAAGUUACCGGGCUUUUCUUUAUCAGGCUUGAAAAAAAAAUUGAAGAUUUAAGAGAAUAGGGAUCUGCAUCAAUAACACUGUGUUUGAAAGUAUCUAUCUUUUAGGUGAAAUCGACACCUCAUUUGGUGUUCCAUUUACCCUUGUUAGCCAGGUGCUGUUUGUGAUAGUGCACAUUCUUCACAGUCUGGCAUGUAAUUUGGAGAAGUUACAUACUUUUGGGCUUUCAUAACAGUAUGGGAGUCGUGAAUCAUGAGAUUUCUUAUGAACACUCAUUUUUUUCUUCAACUGUGUAACAUGGUGAACAGGUCAGGACACAUGUUUGUCAUCAGCCAUUGCAAAGCUUUUUAAACCUUUUAUUGACAUUUCUUUGUUAAUAGAACAUGGUGAUAUUGGUAGAUAUACAGUGUGGAACUGUUGAAUGAAAAUAAUAUAAAAACAAUGUUUACCUUCAUGUAAUUAAAAGUGUUGUUGUUUUUUGUAAAUAAAGCUUAA
Molecule: long non-coding RNA, 1401 nt
Organism: Sardina pilchardus (European sardine)
Lineage: Eukaryota; Metazoa; Chordata; Actinopteri; Clupeiformes; Clupeidae
Exons: 3
Source: RefSeq, a predicted model, not a curated record